Molecule: ribosomal RNA, 404 nt
Filed under: uncultured bacterium
Lineage: Bacteria
Description: bacterial SSU rRNA
Rfam family: Bacterial small subunit ribosomal RNA
Source: RNAcentral
UGAGGAAUAUUGCACAAUGGACGCAAGUCUGAUGCAGCAACGCCGCGUGGAGGAUGAAGGCCUUAGGGUCGUAAACUCCUUUUUUCGGGGAAGAGAAUGGACGGUACCCGAAGAAUAAGUCACGGCUAACUACGUGCCAGCAGCCGCGGUAAUACGUAGGUGGCAAGCGUUAUCCGGAAUUACUGGGCGUAAAGCGCACGCAGGCGGUCUUUUAAGUUUGACGUGAAAGCUCUCGGCUUAACUGGGAGAGGUCGUUGAAUACUGGGAGACUUGAGGAAAUGAGAGGGGUGUAGAAUUCCCGGUGUAGUGGUGGAAUGCGUAGAUAUCGGGGGGAAUACCAGUGGCGAAAGCGGCACCCUAGCAUUUUUCUGACGCUCAUGUGCGAAAGCGUGGGGAGCGAACGG